UUUCCGUAGGUGAACCUGCGGAAGGAUCAUUAAAAAUGAAGCCGGGAAACCGGUCCUUCUAACCCUUGAUUAUCUUAAUUUGUCGCUUUGGUGGGCCGCGCAACACCGGCUUCGGCUGGAUCGUGCCCGCCAGAGGACACAACUCUGUAUCAAAUGUCGUCUGAGUACUAUAAAAUAGUUAAAACUUUCAACAACGGAUCUCUUGGUUCUG
RNAcentral lists this unclassified non-coding RNA (211 nucleotides) under plant metagenome. RNAcentral's name for it is "partial contains small subunit ribosomal RNA, internal transcribed spacer 1, and 5.8S ribosomal RNA". The record is from RNAcentral.